CUUCUCUUCGCAUCCUACUUGGUUACACGAGCAGCUGACUCUUAAUCAGCGGGUCCGGGGUUCGAGCCCCCGAUCGCCCCCCA
This 83-nucleotide transfer RNA is filed under the name Rhodospirillales bacterium. RNAcentral's name for it is "tRNA-Lys". Lineage: Bacteria; Pseudomonadati; Pseudomonadota; Alphaproteobacteria; Rhodospirillales. The record is from RNAcentral.